GUUCCUGUAGUUAAAUUUCGAUAACAGCGGCUUUUCAGGCCGCGGACCCUGGAGAGAGGCCAGGCAGGAAUU
RNAcentral lists this transfer RNA (72 nucleotides) under Ficedula zanthopygia (yellow-rumped flycatcher). Its description in RNAcentral is "tRNA-Glu". Lineage: Eukaryota; Metazoa; Chordata; Aves; Passeriformes; Muscicapidae. The record is from RNAcentral.